This 696-nucleotide ribosomal RNA is filed under the name Cladophialophora carrionii. Its description in RNAcentral is "eukaryotic LSU rRNA". It matches the Rfam family "Eukaryotic large subunit ribosomal RNA", at positions 115 to 831 of the family's 3401-position model. Lineage: Eukaryota; Fungi; Ascomycota; Eurotiomycetes; Chaetothyriales; Herpotrichiellaceae. The record is from RNAcentral.
UUGAAAUCUGGCCUCCCGGGGUCCGAGUUGUAAUUUGUAGAGGAUGUUUUGGGUACCGCCCCGGUUUAAAUUUCUUGGAACAGAAUGUCAGAGAGGGUGAGAAUCCCGUCUUGGACCGGCGGUAGGGCCUGUGUAAAACUCCUUCGACGAGUCGAGUUGUUUGGGAAUGCAGCUCAAAAUGGGUGGUAAAUUUCAUCUAAAGCUAAAUAUUGGCCAGAGACCGAUAGCGCACAAGUAGAGUGAUCGAAAGAUGAAAAGAACUUUGAAAAGAGAGUUAAACAGUAUGUGAAAUUGUUGAAAGGGAAGCGCUUGCAACCAGACUUGAGCGCGACGGUUCCCCUAGCCUUUUGGCUAGGUUACUCCGUCGUGUCCAGGCCAACAUCGGUUCUGAGGGUCGGUCAAAGGCUCUGGGAAUGUAUCUACCCACGGGUAGACUUAUAGACCAGGGUGUCAUGCGACCUCUCGGGACCGAGGAACGCGCUUCGGCUCGGAUGUUGGCGUAAUGGUUGUCAGCGACCCGUCUUGAAACACGGACCAAGGAGUCUAACAUCUAUGCGAGUGUUUGGGUGUCAAACCCGGAACGCGAAAUGAAAGUGAACGGAGGUAGGAAGCUUCGGCUGCACUAUCGACCGAUCCUGAAGUUUACGGAUGGAUUUGAGUAAGAGCAUAGCUGUUGGGACCCGAAAGAUGGUGAAC